Molecule: ribosomal RNA, 305 nt
Filed under: uncultured bacterium
Lineage: Bacteria
Description: bacterial SSU rRNA
Rfam family: Bacterial small subunit ribosomal RNA
Source: RNAcentral
GUCCUACGGGGGGCAGCAGUGAGGAAUAUUGGUCAAUGGGAGAGAUCCUGAACCAGCCAAGCCGCGUGAGGGAAGACGGCCCUAUGGGUUGUAAACCUCUUUUGUCGGAGAACAAAACCCGGGACGUGUCCCGGACUGCGUGUAUCCGAAGAAAAAGCAUCGGCUAACUCCGUGCCAGCAGCCGCGGUAAUACGGAGGAUGCGAGCGUUAUCCGGAUUUAUUGGGUUUAAAGGGUGCGUAGGCGGUCCGUUAAGUCAGCGGUAAAAUUGCGGGGCUCAACCCGGGCCGGCCGUUGAAACUGGGGA